RNAcentral lists this ribosomal RNA (162 nucleotides) under Iresine schaffneri. Its description in RNAcentral is "5.8S ribosomal RNA". It matches the Rfam family "5.8S ribosomal RNA". Rfam says of the family: 5.8S ribosomal RNA (5.8S rRNA) is a component of the large subunit of the eukaryotic ribosome. It is transcribed by RNA polymerase I as part of the 45S precursor that also contains 18S and 28S rRNA. Functionally, it is thought that 5.8S rRNA may be involved in ribosome translocation. RNAcentral also lists the same sequence under 10 other names. The record is from RNAcentral. Lineage: Eukaryota; Viridiplantae; Streptophyta; Magnoliopsida; Caryophyllales; Amaranthaceae.
AAAUGACUCUCGGCAACGGAUAUCUCGGCUCUCGCAUCGAUGAAGAACGUAGCGAAAUGCGAUACUUGGUGUGAAUUGCAGAAUCCCGUGAACCAUCGAGUUUUUGAACGCAAGUUGCGCCCGAAGCCUUCUGGCCAGGGCACGUCUGCCUGGGCGUCACGC